GAUGAACGCUGGCGGCGUGCUUAACACAUGCAAGUCGAACGAAGCACUUUAUUUGAUUUCCUUCGGGACUGAUUAUUUUGUGACUGAGUGGCGGACGGGUGAGUAACGCGUGGGUAACCUGCCUUGUACAGGGGGAUAACAGUUGGAAACGGCUGCUAAUACCGCAUAAGCGCACGGCAUCGCAUGAUGCAGUGUGAAAAACUCCGGUGGUAUAAGAUGGACCCGCGUUGGAUUAGCUAGUGGGUGAGGUAACGGCCCACCAAGGCGACGAUCCAUAGCCGACCUGGGAGGGUGACCGGCCACAUUGGGACUGAGACACGGCCCAAACUCCUACGGGAGGCAGCAGUGGGGAAUAUUGCACAAUGGGCGAAAGCCUGAUGCAGCGACGCCGCGUGAGCGAAGAAGUAUUUCGGUAUGUAAAGCUCUAUCAGCAGGGAAGAUAAUGACGGUACCUGACUAGGAAGCACCGGCUAAAUACGUG
This 481-nucleotide ribosomal RNA is filed under the name uncultured bacterium. RNAcentral describes it as "partial 16S ribosomal RNA". It matches the Rfam family "Bacterial small subunit ribosomal RNA", at positions 28 to 507 of the family's 1533-position model. The record is from RNAcentral.